UAACACCCGAAGUCGGUGGGGUAACCGUAAGGAGCCAGCCGCCUAAGGUGGGACAGAUGAUUGGGGUGAAGUCGUAACAAGGUAGCCGUAUCGGAAGGUGCGGCUGGAUCACCUCCUUU
RNAcentral lists this ribosomal RNA (119 nucleotides) under Neobacillus sp. MM2021_6. RNAcentral's name for it is "partial 16S ribosomal RNA". It matches the Rfam family "Bacterial small subunit ribosomal RNA", at positions 1415 to 1533 of the family's 1533-position model. Lineage: Bacteria; Bacillati; Bacillota; Bacilli; Caryophanales; Bacillaceae. The record is from RNAcentral.